RNAcentral lists this ribosomal RNA (468 nucleotides) under uncultured bacterium. RNAcentral's name for it is "partial 16S ribosomal RNA". It matches the Rfam family "Bacterial small subunit ribosomal RNA", at positions 28 to 507 of the family's 1533-position model. The record is from RNAcentral.
GACGAACGCUGGCGGCGUGCUUAACACAUGCAAGUCGAACGGAAAGGCCCUGCUUUUGUGGGGUUCUCGAGUGGCGAACGGGUGAGUAACACGUGAGUAACCUGCCCUUGACUUUGGGAUAACUUCAGGAAACUGGGGCUAAUACCGGAUAGGAGCUCCUGCUGCAUGGUGGGGGUUGGAAAGUUUCGGCGGUUGGGGAUGGACUCGCGGCUUAUCAGCUUGUUGGUGGGGUAGUUGCUUACCAAGGCUUUGACGGGUAGCCGGCCUGAGAGGGGGACCGGCCACAUUGGGACUGAGAUACGGCGCAGACUCCUACGCGAGGCAGCAGUGGGGAAUAUUGCACAAUGGGCGGAAGCCUGAUGCAGCAACGCCGCGUGCGGAAUGACGGCCUUCGGGUUGUAAACCGCUUUCGCCUGUGACGAAGCGUGAGUGACGGUAAUGGGUAAAGAAGCACCGGCUAACUACGUG